AGCGGAGCAUGUGGUUUAAGUUCGAAGCAACGCGAAGAACCUUACCAGGGCUUGACAUGCCGCUGACCGGUUUAGAGAUAGACCUUUAUCCUUCGGGGUACAGCGGACACAGGUGGUGCAUGGUUGUCGUCAGCUCGUGUCGUGAGAUGUUGGGUUAAGUCCCGCAACGAGCGCAACCCUUGUCUUUAGUUGCCAUCAUUAAGUUGGGCACUCUAAAGAGACUGCCGAUGACAAAUCGGAGGAAGGUGGGGAUGACGUCAAAUCAUCAUGCCCUUUAUGUCCUGGGCUACACACGUGCUACAAUGGUCGGUACAACGAGAAGCAAGCCAGCGAUGGCAAGCAAAUCUCUAAAAGCCGAUCCCAGUUCGGAUUGCAGGCUGCAACUCGCCUGCAUGAAGUCGGAGUUGCUAGUAAUCGCGGAUCAGAAUGCCGCGGUGAAUGCGUUCCCGGGUCUU
This 455-nucleotide ribosomal RNA is filed under the name uncultured Eubacteriales bacterium. RNAcentral describes it as "bacterial SSU rRNA". It matches the Rfam family "Bacterial small subunit ribosomal RNA", at positions 931 to 1382 of the family's 1533-position model. Lineage: Bacteria; Bacillati; Bacillota; Clostridia; Eubacteriales. The record is from RNAcentral.